GAAAGGCAAAGAAAAAUAAUUCCAGUGAAACUUCAGGGAGAAAGGCAGAAAUAACUACAGAAUUGGAAUGCUUCCAGAACAUGGAGCUAACAUCCUGAUUAUUAGAGGAUCAUCUUUUACAGUCACAAGUGCUUUGAGAUGAACCUAAUCCAUCGGUUCCUGCUUCCCCAAAAGGCCACUUCUAAUUCUUUCUGAAAAUAUGGCCACCCGGUACCCAUCAGUAUAAAGAAAAACGGAGAGGAGAGAACCACAGGCCGCUUCAUUAUUGAAAUUAUCUUUCCUGCAUUUCUGAAGAUCAGCUUUGCUCUUCUUUUGUUCAGGUAUAGUAUUCUUGCUUGAGAAUUUUUUGUUUCAAUGCUUUGAGUAUAUCAUCUAUUUCUCCCUGGUCUGGUCCCUUGCCCAAGCAAGACUUCAGGAAAGGAUCCUGAGUUGCCUGGAUUCUCAUAUCAGGCUUCCUCAGCUAGCAGGACAGGGUACUAUACUCACCAGAAGAUAGGGCUAUGCAUUAG
Sus scrofa (pig) is the source of this 509-nucleotide non-coding RNA. Lineage: Eukaryota; Metazoa; Chordata; Mammalia; Artiodactyla; Suidae. The record is from RefSeq and is a predicted model, not a curated record.